This 406-nucleotide ribosomal RNA is filed under the name uncultured bacterium. RNAcentral describes it as "partial 16S ribosomal RNA". It matches the Rfam family "Bacterial small subunit ribosomal RNA", at positions 29 to 526 of the family's 1533-position model. The record is from RNAcentral.
AUUGAACGCUGGCGGCAGGCCUAACACAUGCAAGUCGAACGAGUGGCGGACGGGUGAGUAAUGUCUGGGAAACUGCCCGAUGGAGGGGGAUAACUACUGGAAACGGUAGCUAAUACCGCAUACCCUCGGAUGUGCCCAGAUGGGAUUAGCUUGUAGGUGAGGUACCGGCUCACCUAGGCGACGAUCCCUAGCUGGUCUGAGAGGAUGACCAGCCAGACUGGAACGGAGACACGGUCCAUAGUCCUACGGGAGGCAGCAGUGGGGAAUAUUGCACAAGGGGGGGAAGCCUGAGGCAGACAUGCCGAGUGUAUGUAGAAGGCCUUCGGGUUGUAAAGUACUUGCAGCGGGGAGGCGUUACCCGCAGAAGAAGCACCGGCUAACUCCGUGCCAGCAGCCGCGGUAAUAC